GCCCGGUUAGCUCAAUCGGUAGAGCGUGAGACUUUUACGAAAGGAUUCGCGAUCUCAAGGCUGCGGGUUCGACCCCCGCAUCGGGCA
Molecule: transfer RNA, 87 nt
Rfam family: tRNA
About the family: Transfer RNA (tRNA) molecules are approximately 80 nucleotides in length. Their secondary structure includes four short double-helical elements and three loops (D, anti-codon, and T loops).
Source: Rfam